This 89-nucleotide transfer RNA is filed under the name Spiribacter salinus M19-40. RNAcentral describes it as "tRNA-Leu (TAG) (tRNA-Leu-TAG-1-1)". It matches the Rfam family "tRNA". From Rfam's summary of the family: Transfer RNA (tRNA) molecules are approximately 80 nucleotides in length. Their secondary structure includes four short double-helical elements and three loops (D, anti-codon, and T loops). RNAcentral also lists the same sequence under 1 other name. Lineage: Bacteria; Pseudomonadati; Pseudomonadota; Gammaproteobacteria; Chromatiales; Ectothiorhodospiraceae. The record is from RNAcentral.
GCGAAAGUGGCGGAACUGGUAGACGCGCUGGGUUUAGGUCCCAGUGGGGUUAACCCCCCGUGCGAGUUCGAGUCUCGCCUUUCGCACCA